Long non-coding RNA from Scatophagus argus, 2131 nucleotides. RefSeq lists it as uncharacterized. NCBI's taxonomy places the organism in Eukaryota, Metazoa, Chordata, Actinopteri, Scatophagidae. The record is from RefSeq and is a predicted model, not a curated record. The transcript has 5 exons.
UUUUCUUUUUUCUUUGUGAUUAUUGUCUUUGUCCUGUCCUCUACCUCCUUUCUUACGACUUCAGUCUUCUUCUUUUUUCUGUCCUCGUUCUCUCUUUUUAAUUCUUCAUCUUUGUUUGUUUUUCUUUGUUCUUCCACUUUAUAUCUUUGUUCUUCCCUGUUAUUUAUUGAUUCAUUCUUGUUCAUGCUUCUUCUUUCCCUGUCUUCUUUUGAGUUCAACAACCAACAAAAACCAACACCAACAACGAACAACAAUGCAGAGUGGCCCCCCGUGACGCUACCCCAUUCGGGGCAGCGACAGGGGCCCGGCCGCUUCGCGCGAUUUUGAUGCCAUUCAUCAGAUGACAGAACAGGUAGUGUUUGCAGUGCGUGACUGACUAAGAGCAGAGCACCAGGAGCAGACAGCUGUGUGUACCCAUGGACAACGUCUGAACCACCAGCUAUAGACGGUGAUUUAAGCACCGGCAAGAAGCGGAAAAUUAUGGAACAUAUUUUCACGAUGACUGCAUGCCAUGCAUCAGCUGACGCUACUGUGUGCCAGACAGGAGACGAGGAGCUGCAUGAGGCAAGAAAAGCAGAAUUCAGAAUGUAUAGCCCGCGGCAAUGGACAGAAAUAGAACCAACAGCCUGGCAAUGAACUGUCAAGAGACGAGGAGCAAGAGGUUCAGAUGAGGAGGAGGAACAGUACGGGCCCAGCUAAUGAAAGAGGGAACCACUGAAAUUCCUCCAUAACAACAGGAGGGAAACCAGAGAACAUCUAUAAUCAUUUCUGACAAAGGGAGAGGGGAGGCAGUUAAAUGGGUGACCCUCUAACCCCAUUGCUCAUUGUAGAUGUGGCAGGAGAUGGUCCUCAUCUCUGACAAUCGAUGCAGCAGACCUCAUAACCACCCGCAGCCGAUUUCAGAGGCCCAAAUGUGUCAUCACUAUGUCAUUGAGCAUACGUCUUCGCCAGAGGCGACAGGACCUUCCCCACCCGCACCCCCUCCCCCUGUCGGAUGAGAGGGCGGAGAGUGGCAUUUCCCCCAAUUCUGUGAAAUGGUGCAGAAAACAGGAGAAAGAGGGACACGCCCCACAGUGUCUAUCAAUCCUGAGUCUGCAGCAAUGAAACUGAAACUUCAUCUAGAUGCCCUCAUCUAUCUGUCAGUGAAUAGGAAAGGAGGUAAAGGAGGAGGGGGUGCUAUUGGAGCCAGCAGCCAAUCUCUCCUCCCUUCUCAGAUGCAUAAUUCAGUGUUUCUCUCACAACAGCCUGCGCUACGAAGGGCUCAGCUUCCCCCAGCCAUGCGGCGGGCAGUCUGCUAAUAUGAAAGAAGCUCAGAAUCCACUCUGUUGUUCCUUCAGGCUCUCUGGCUCUUCACUCUCAGUCAUACUUGUAUGAUUUAUUCAGCUCGUUCAACCAUGGCGUGAGACUCAGACCCCAGUGGAUGAAUUGGGAAACACUUUUGUCCUUGUCAAGAUCCAGCCACAGAACUUGGCAGAGGAAGUGUGUCGGCAUCACUGUGGGUUGUCAGAGUGACACUGGAGUAGCUUAACCUCCCACUGGUGGUUAGUUUUACUGCUCCUUCUGAGAGGCUCGCCGCUGAGCUUGUGUACAGCAACCCUGAUUUGGCCUCAAUAAGCAACCAAGGAAGGAAGCAUGGAGGACAAGAGCACAGGGUGACUCUUCCUGUUCUACAAAUACAAUUCGUUUUUUGCUUAAGUCAUUGAAAGUUCACUAAAAAGCUGUACCUAUAUGAGUUUUUUGUUGUUAUUUCUCAAUUUAACAGCUUAAACAGCGUUUAUACACUAUGUCUAGUACAUAUACAAUAAGCUGGGUUUGUGAUCCUGAUUCAUAUUCCCACCAAACUUUUCUCAUAUGCAAGGGACAGUGAUGGCUUGUCUGUUAAGGGGAGGAGACCAUUAUUUAUAGAGUUAGACCUCAAAAAGACUCAAAAGUCCACGCUGAGAGCCUCCUCACAGAGCUAUGGGACUACUCAAUGAAGUAUUAUUGAAACCUGACACCAGCAUGGUCAGAAAAUCUUAUCUCUGAUCUCUGUCUUAUCUUACCUUAAAUCUUUUGCUACCACAAUGCACUGAGUAGGAGGAAAUGUUGCACUUUUAAGUGUUGAAGUUUGUGUAGACAUAGCUCGGUUAUA